RNAcentral lists this ribosomal RNA (253 nucleotides) under uncultured bacterium. RNAcentral's name for it is "partial 16S ribosomal RNA". It matches the Rfam family "Bacterial small subunit ribosomal RNA", at positions 524 to 776 of the family's 1533-position model. The record is from RNAcentral.
UACGUAGGGGGCAAGCGUUAUCCGGAUUUACUGGGUGUAAAGGGGGCGCAGACGGCGAUGCAAGCCAGGAGUGAAAGCCCGGGGCCCAACCCCGGGACUGCUCUUGGAACUGCGUGGCUGGAGUGCAGGAGGGGCAGGCGGAAUUCCUGGUGUAGCGGUGAAAUGCGUAGAUAUCAGGAGGAACACCGGUGGCGAAGGCGGCCUGCUGGACUGCAACUGACGUUGAGGCCCGAAAGCGUGGGGAGCAAUCAGG